AGGUGGUGCAUGGUUGUCGUCAGCUCGUGUCGUGAGAUGUUGGGUUAAGUCCCGCAACGAGCGCAACCCUCGCCUCUAGUUGCCAGCAUUCGGUUGGGCACUCUAGAGGGACUGCCGGCGACAAGUCGGAGGAAGUGGGAUGACGUCAAAUCAUCAUGCCCCUUAUGACCUGGGCUACACACGUGCUACAAUGGGCGGUACAAAGGGCUGCGAACCCGCGAGGGGGAGCGAAUCCCAAAAAGCCGCUCUCAGUUCGGAUUGCAGGCUGCAACUCGCCUGCAUGAAGCCGGAAUCGCUAGUAAUCGCGGAUCAGCAUGCCGCGGUGAAUACGUUCCCGGGCCUU
RNAcentral lists this ribosomal RNA (343 nucleotides) under uncultured Geobacillus sp. Its description in RNAcentral is "bacterial SSU rRNA". It matches the Rfam family "Bacterial small subunit ribosomal RNA", at positions 1036 to 1382 of the family's 1533-position model. The record is from RNAcentral. Lineage: Bacteria; Bacillati; Bacillota; Bacilli; Caryophanales; Anoxybacillaceae.